This 1197-nucleotide long non-coding RNA is filed under the name Canis lupus familiaris (dog). RNAcentral's name for it is "lncRNA (ENSCAFG00845030791.1)". Lineage: Eukaryota; Metazoa; Chordata; Mammalia; Carnivora; Canidae. The record is from RNAcentral.
GUGCAACACUCUAUGGGAUUUGUAGUUUUUCUGAAUCUCAGAGCUUAUCGUUCUGAAAGACAGAGGUAAGUGAUGGCUGGCGGGGGUAAAAGUCUCAUACGAUUCAGAUCAGGACAGCCCAAAUAGUGUGGUAAGAUUUGUUACCCAGUGUUUCUCCUCAAUAAUUUCUUGCUGAGUGAACCAAUCCAGAACUACAGCACCCAGAAGGCCUCGCGCUUCCCUUACCCGCCCCCCACCUCCCGCGCCGUCUCCCCCCGCGUCGUCUCAGCUACUUUGAUUCCCAAAGGUUUCUGGGAAGGUCGGGCUGAUACUCAAGGAAGGACUACGAACCCCAGCAAGCAGUUCGCGACACCAGGGCGCAGAAGGAGGAGGAGCUCGAGCCGUGGGGCCCUACGGAACCAGAUCCACCCUUGAGAGGAGGGCCUGGGUCUGGAAGCUGUAGGUGAGCAGAGGGUGAGAGGCCUUGUGUUCUGCGGGCUGCUCCUUCCACAAGCAAUUGCAUGCGUGAGGCCCUGUUCCUGGUGCUGGGAUGCAGGAGGAUGGACAGAAUUCUCGGUCGUGGACAGUUCUCUGCCUUCAUGGAGCCUGUAGUCUAGUGGGGAGGCGGUACACAGGACAGUACACCAGCAGGUGAGGUGAGACGAGCUAUGGAAAACAGUGGGUUGUAAGGGGGCGUGAAAGUGCCUGCAGCUGCCACUUUGGCCACAAUUUUAAGUCCGAUGGUCAGGGCAGGCUCACCAGGAGGGCAAGGGAGUGAGCCACCUGGAUGGUCAUAGUACCAGCAGUUAUAGCCUCUGUUUUUUGAGCACUAAUUAUGUGGUAGACAUCCUAAUAUACUACUGCCUUGGUCAAUCCACAGUAGCAGUGGGAUCCCUAUUUUAUAGUUAAGGACAUAUGCAGGGAGAUGAAAUAACUUUCUAGAGGUCACCUAGCUGAUAAGUGGCAGAGAUGGGAUUCAAACCCACACCUGUGUGAUCCCAGAGGGCCAUCCCACUAGCCUUGCCUGCUGCCCUUUGGCCAUGAGGAGCCACCUUGUCACCUGGUGAAGCUCCAGGGAGCCAGCAGAUGCUGUUGCAAACAUGGACCUGGUCCUUAAGAGUGGGUGGGUGGCACUGCCUGCGUUCCCAGCAAGGGAGUGCGGCUUGAUGGUUCUGUAUCGGACAGGGCCUUGCUUACAUGCUGCCCAGUGCACCAGCC